AUGAAGAGAAGCCACUGCCGUUCACAAACCACCGCCUUCGCUCAUAAGUCACGAACGCCGCCGCCACCGCUACUUGGAGACGGGAUGAAGCGAAGCCCCCGCCGCUCACGAACCGUCACCGUCACCUUCGCUCACGAGUCACAAACGACACCGAUGCUGGUAUUUGGAGACGGGAUGAAGAGAAGCCGCUACCUUUCACGAACCGCCGCCGCGUUCGUUCACGAGUCACGAACAAGGCCGACACUGCUACUUGGGGACGGGGUCAAGAGAAGCCGCUGCCGCUCACGAACCACCGCCGCUGCCUUCGCUCACAACUCACGAGCAACGCCGCCACCGUCGCCUUCGCUCAUGAGUCACGAACGCCGCCACCACCGCUGCCCUCAAUCACGAAUUGGUGGGGAACUUGUGACGAGUUUGCUAGGUUAG
RNAcentral lists this ribosomal RNA (426 nucleotides) under Triticum aestivum (bread wheat). Its description in RNAcentral is "partial small subunit ribosomal RNA". The record is from RNAcentral. Lineage: Eukaryota; Viridiplantae; Streptophyta; Magnoliopsida; Poales; Poaceae.